AAAUGUCAAAGGGCCCACCACUUUUGUUGCGGGAUAUAGAGGGAGGGAAUUAAGAGACCUAUUGUUAAACUCAACAGGUCUCUUAUGUGUGUAAGGGCCCACCAUGACCCUCACCUUCAGUGGCGUCCCCCUAUUUUCAAAAAAAAAAAUUAAAAAAAAACAAAAGAAAAAAAACAAGAGCCUAAGACAUAAAGAAGAAAACAAAAACUAAACCCUAACUUUUCAAUUUUCAGUUUCUCUCUCUUCGAAGGCGGAAGGUCUCCAGGUCGCCAUUGAUUCGUCGUCACUGUUCGCCGUGCGUGGGGUUUCAGGCGAAAGCUCGGCCAGACGCUGCUUCCACUGGCUGCUUCGCAAAUCUCAAAUCUCAAGUUAACAAGUUCGCAUUUCGCAAAUCUCCAGUUCGUUGUUCGCACUUCGCAAAUUCAAUUAGCCAAUUCACCCAAAUCAAUUAAUCAAUGGAGUUUUGAAUUUUGAACUGAGUCCGCCGCUCUCGCUCGUCGGCUCCACUCCCAGCACUCCGUCCCUCCGUCCUUCGAGUCGCCGUCGUCGCUGCUUCGUGAUUCACUGCUUCGUCCGUUCGUCUGCUCGUCGCUGGACUCGCUGAUCUCCAUUCAACUUUGCUCACUUCGCUAAAUCGCUAGACCCAAUUCACAGAGGAUGAGCAAUUCAAGAAACUCGCUAAGCUGAUAAAUGGAGGGCUAAAGAAUUACCCAUGAUGUGUUGUAUUCACUUGCCGCAUAAAAUGAUAGGACUGUUGUUGGUUUUGGUAACUUGUAAAUUAUUUCCAAAAGUUCUUAUAUACUUGUAAAUUAUUUCUAUAAGUUCUUGUAUACUUGUAAACUAUUUCUAUAAGUUCUUAUAUACUUGUAAAUUAUUAUUCUUCUUAUUUA
Molecule: long non-coding RNA, 890 nt
Organism: Chenopodium quinoa (quinoa)
Lineage: Eukaryota; Viridiplantae; Streptophyta; Magnoliopsida; Caryophyllales; Amaranthaceae
Exons: 3
Source: RefSeq, a predicted model, not a curated record